UGCCAGCCACCGCGGUUAUACGAGAGGCCCAAAUUGAUGAAAAACGGCGUAAAGCGUGGUUAAGAAAAAAGAGAAAAUAUGGCCGAACAACUUCAAAGCAGUUAUACGCAUCCGAAGUCACGAAGAACAAUCACGAAAGUUGCCCUAAAACCUCCGAUUCCACGAAAGCCAUAAAACAAACUGGGAUUAGAUACCCCACUAUGUAUGGUCGUUAACAUUGAUGGUUUUAUACCCAAACCAUCCGCCUGGGAACUACGAGCAAUAGCUUAAAACCCAAAGGACUUGGCGGUGCUUUAGACCCCCCUAGAGGAGCCUGUUCUAGAACUGAUAACCCCCGUUUAACCUCACCAUCCUUUGUUUUCCCCGCCUAUAUACCACCGUCGUCAGCUUACCCUGUGAAGGGAAAAUAGUAAGCAUAAAUGGCAAAGCCAAAAACGUCAGGUCGAGGUGUAGCGUAUGGGGUGGGAAGAAAUGGGCUACAUUCUCUAUUACAGAGAAUACGAAUUGUAAUUUGAAAAAAAUUACCUGAAGGAGGAUUUAGCAGUAAGUAGGGACUAGAGUGCCCUGCUGAAAACGGCCCUGAAGCGCGCACACACCGCCCGUCACUCUCUCCAAAUAAACCCUAGAUAUUACCUAAAAUGCUUUUUAUAAUAAGGGGAGGCAAGUCGUAACAUGGUAAGCGUACCGG
This 688-nucleotide ribosomal RNA is filed under the name Gadus ogac (Greenland cod). Its description in RNAcentral is "partial 12S ribosomal RNA". It matches the Rfam family "Bacterial small subunit ribosomal RNA", at positions 506 to 1508 of the family's 1533-position model. Lineage: Eukaryota; Metazoa; Chordata; Actinopteri; Gadiformes; Gadidae. The record is from RNAcentral.